UACGGGGGGGGCAAGCGUUGUUCGGAAUUACUGGGCGUAAAGAGCUCGUAGGUGGUUUGUCGCGUUGUCCGUGAAAACUCACAGCUCAACUGUGGGCGUGCGGGCGAUACGGGCAGACUGGAGUACUGCAGGGGAGACUGGAAUUCCUGGUGUAGCGGUGGAAUGCGCAGAUAUCAGGAGGAACACCGGUGGCGAAGGCGGGUCUCUGGGCAGUAACUGACGCUGAGGAGCGAAAGCGUGGGGAGCGAACAGG
Molecule: ribosomal RNA, 253 nt
Filed under: uncultured bacterium
Lineage: Bacteria
Description: partial 16S ribosomal RNA
Rfam family: Bacterial small subunit ribosomal RNA
Source: RNAcentral